GCGUGCUUAACACAUGCAAGUCGAGCGGUGAACCCAGGCUUGCGUGUUGGUCUGUGGCGAACGGGUGAGUAAACGUGAGUAACCUGCCCUGGACUCUGGGAUAAACGCUGGAAAGGGCGUCGAAUACUGGAAAUGAACCUCUUCCGCACGGUGGGGGUUGGAAAGAUUAAUUGGUCUGGGUGGGGCUCGCGGCCUAUGCCUUGUUGGUGAGGGGUUUGUAAGGAAGGCCUUACGGGGAGCCUGCCAGACAGGGUGACCGGCCACACUGGGACUGAGACACGGCCCUUACUCCUAGGGGAGGAAGCUGUUCGAAAUAUUGCCCAAAGGGCAAAAGCCCCAUGCAGUUACACCGCGUGUUGGAUGACGGCCUUCAUGUUGAAACCUGAUUUAACACGGAAGAAGUUAAGGUGAAAGUACCUGCAGAAAAAGCGACGGCGAACUACCUGUCCCCAACCGCGGUAAUACGUAUGGCUACUAGGCUUAUCCUUUAAUUAUAGGGCGUAGUGACCUCCUAUGUCGUUAGUUAUUGCUGCUGUAACAUCCGUAGGCUCUAUCUUAGGCCUGCUGUGAGUACCCCCCGAUCAACCUGGGAUAGUGGAUAUUGGAAUUCAAGCUUUAGCGGUGAAAUGGACAGAUGUAUUGACUGUGACCCAUUGAAAUGGCAGAUCUCUGGGCCGAAACUCACUCUCAUGAGCGAAUUGGUGGUCAGCAAAUAAGACUAUAUACCGAGAGCGUGCACCCCGUACACGAUUAGAUCUACUGGUAGAGACAUCUCCACAGGUUCAGUGACACAUCUUAUGCAGUAACCUACCUCGUCCGGGGAGUACUGCCGCAUGCUCACACUCACAGGGAGUAUUACGAGCGCCCGCUCAAACUCAGAGCAUGCUUGAUUAUAUCGAUCCAAGCACGUAGAGCCUAUACCUUUGCUUCACAUCCAUCCGCACCAGCCUAGCCAUAGUUCAGCUCUCUCGCACACUGCUCUAGCAGAUAGUGUAUGGUUGUCGUCAGCUCGUGUCGUGAGAUGUUGGGUUAAGUCCCGCUACGAGCGCAACCCUCGUUCUAUGUUGCCAGCACGUAAUGGUGCGAACUCAUGCGGUACUGCCAAGGUCAACUCGGAGGAAGGUGGGGAUGACGUCUUAUCAUCAUGCCCCUUAUGUCUUGGGCUUCACGCAUGCUACAAUGGCCAGGUACAAAGGGCUGCAAUACCGUGAGGUGGAGCGAAUUCCAAGGAGCCAGUCCCAGUUCGGAUUGAGGUCUGCGACUCGACCUCAUGAAGUCAGAGUCGCUAGUAAUCGCAGAUCAGCAACGCUGCGGUGAAUAGGUUCCCGGGUCUUGUACACACCGCCCGUCAAGUCUUGAAAGUCGGUAACACCUGAAGCUUGUGGCCCAACCCUUGUGCCGGGUAC
RNAcentral lists this ribosomal RNA (1406 nucleotides) under Microbacterium testaceum. RNAcentral's name for it is "bacterial SSU rRNA". It matches the Rfam family "Bacterial small subunit ribosomal RNA". Lineage: Bacteria; Bacillati; Actinomycetota; Actinomycetes; Micrococcales; Microbacteriaceae. The record is from RNAcentral.